CACGAGAAGGGAUCCCUUUUUUGGUUCUUGCAUCCGCCCAACUCCCACAAAAAAAACCCUUGCGAGGACAAAACAACCCCAUAAUAAAGCGGGGCCCACCAGUUGAAAACGAAAGUUAAUUGCAUGAUCUGCCAAUCUCAAAUUUUCAGACAAACUCGCUCGGAAAUCAAGGAGAAAAUGGUCAUCACACCCUUACUGUCGGAUUUUUAGCCGAUAACAGCAUCUAAUUGUGACGAAACUGCCGGGUUUCGAGUGGAGCUUCAGUCUGUCCUUAUGUGGACAGAUAGACGCGCAACUUGGAUGACUCUUCACUCUGAAUGUCUGGGCCAGGGGUGGAUGGAGCGCAUGAGUUGUCGAAUGAACCGCGAAUUUGAGCGUGGAUCCCCUGAGAUUCAAAAGUUGAUCAACAAAAAGAAAACUCGGGAUUUUCGGGAACAAUAGAAUUCCCGUAGGGGCCAUGGAAAUAAAACGGUUGAGCAUUUAGAAAUCAGUCAACGGCCGCUUCCUUGUCAUCAUUCUUUUCAAUGGCCAGCACAGCUCUAAUAGAAGUAUUUUCGCUGCUACUACCGGAGUUCAUUCGGACGCUCAUGCCCUUACAGAGUGUUAUAUAGGUGAAUUUCUCACGCGU
This 628-nucleotide small RNA is filed under the name Histoplasma capsulatum var. duboisii H88. Its description in RNAcentral is "Histoplasma capsulatum H88 hypothetical RNA". Lineage: Eukaryota; Fungi; Ascomycota; Eurotiomycetes; Onygenales; Ajellomycetaceae. The record is from RNAcentral.